UUCCGGUUGAUCCUGCCGGACCUGACUGCUAUCGGAUUGAUACUAAGCCAUGCGAGUCUUUGUAGUAAUACAAGGCAUACGGCUCAGUAACGCGUAGUCAACCUACCCUAUGGACAAGAAUAAUCUCGGGAAACUGAGCAUAAUUCUUGAUAGACCAUAAUGCCUGGAAUGGUUUAUGGUUAAAAUGAUUCGUCGCCAUAGGAUGGGACUGCGGCCUAUCAGCUUGUUGGUGAGGUAAUGGCCCACCAAGGCGAUUACAGGUACGGGCUCUGAGAGGAGAAGCCCGGAGAUGGGUACUGAGACAAGGACCCAGGCCCUAUGGGGCGCAGCAGGCGAGAAAACUUUGCAAUGUGCGAAAGCACGACAAGGUUAGUCCGAGUGAUUUCUGCUAAAGAGAUCUUUUGCUAGUUAUAAAACCACUAGUGAAUAAGGGGUGGGCAAGUUCUGGUGUCAGCCGCCGCGGUAAAACCAGCACCUCAAGUGGUCAGGAUGAUUAUUGGGCCUAAAGCAUCCGUAGCCGGCUCUGUAAGUUUUCGGUUAAAUCUAUGCGCUCAACGUAUGG
This 562-nucleotide ribosomal RNA is filed under the name uncultured marine group I thaumarchaeote. RNAcentral describes it as "bacterial SSU rRNA". It matches the Rfam family "Archaeal small subunit ribosomal RNA", at positions 1 to 569 of the family's 1478-position model. The record is from RNAcentral. Lineage: Archaea; Thermoproteati; Nitrososphaerota.